This 1463-nucleotide unclassified non-coding RNA is filed under the name Hevea brasiliensis (rubber tree). The record is from RNAcentral. Lineage: Eukaryota; Viridiplantae; Streptophyta; Magnoliopsida; Malpighiales; Euphorbiaceae.
AAAAAAAAGAAAGAAGAAAAAAAAGAGUAAAGGUGAUAUUGUAUCUGUGGAAAUAAGAAUUGAUUACAUAGAGUCCACUGUGGCAAAUUAGGGACCGCAUUAACUAAAAUAUUACACAUUAGCAAGGGAUUAGAUUUCUUUGGUGGCUUCAGCACACUAAACCUGACAAAAACAAAUUAUAACCUGCUGUGGAUUAGCAUCUUUUAUCUCCUAAUUUCCCUUCCUUUCAUGGUUUGUGGACAGUGUUCCAUUUUUUUAGAUACAUGACCUCCUUUGGAUUGUCUAAUUUUUUUUCUUUUACAUGCAUGAAGACAACCCCCAAUGCCAACUAAAAAAUUUAGACAUAAAGGACCAAUAUAGGAUGUUUCAAGAGCAUCCUACCAAUACAUAAAGGUGAGUAAAGUUUGAGGACUUUUUAUGCAUUUGUCCCACUAAAAGUUGAAUAAUAAACACAGGACAACCCAAAUUACGUGAAAGGAGAAACAGGUCAUACAAGCUACAAAUUAUCCAAGUUAAAAUUUACAUAAUUUAAUUCAAUGCCAAAGCAUUCUUCCAAGUGAUUUUAACAUCAUAACAUAAAUUUAAAAUGCUUAGGCCUCACCACACAAUUCGCUAUCAUAAAUUGAGUUUUAAUAAAUUAUGAUAAUUACCGCAAUGGAACUAGGUGGGGGAAAAAAACCCUCUUUAGAGAAGGAAGCAUAAAUUAUACUGCUGGCAUAGCUGCCAUGAGACUAUUACACCAUUAUUAGUUUCUCUGUGUCUGAAGCAAUGAUUAAACACAGAAACCAAUAUCGAUAAUAGCUAGAACACUGGUAUUAUGCAACCAGACAACUAAUGUACAUGGCCUAGAACAUCUAUCAAACAAAAUAUUAGCCUAGCGAAAAAACUUUCAUAUGUUAAGAUAUCCGCAAAACUAGUAAAUAGACCACAACAUUUUGAUAAUGUGUAUUUUAGGCAACCCAUUUCCAAGUUCAAAGUUCAAACAGCAUCUUUUACAGAACUAACAACGACCAACAAUAAAUUUGACCUGGGAACAGAAGGAAAAUCCAAAAAAACCUAACAGUAACAGGUAGCAUUGGCCUUCCUAAACAAAUUAAACAAUCAUUAUACCAACAUUUCAACCAUAAAAGGCCAGAAGCCAAAAGCGAUAAGAAGUUCAAAUUAUACAUUUAAACAAACAAAUUGAUAAAUGAUAAAUAAUCAAUCUGCAAUCUUACUAACCAAAAAUCACAAAGCUCACAGAGAGGGGAAAUAAUCUCACCAACCUUUUUCGCAUUAGUUUCCGAGCAAGGGAUUUCAAAUUAAGACUACUAAAAUGCUUUAAAACUGAGAAAAUUUCCCUCCAAUAAAAGACAAAACAAAGUGGUUCCAUCUUAAUUCAACCAUCUAUCGCCGUCAAAAUAAAACGAAAACCAUAAGACGCAUAAAGAGCACAAGAGGAUCUUACGGCCUCGGGCUUGCCG